UACGGGGGGGGCAAGCGUUGUUCGGAAUUACUGGGCGUAAAGGGCGCGUAGGCGGCCUGCUAAGUCGGACGUGAAAUCCCUCGGCUCAACCGAGGAACUGCGUCCGAUACUGGUGGGCUUGAAUCCGGGAGAGGGAUGUGGAAUUCCAGGUGUAGCGGUGAAAUGCGUAGAGAUUUGGAGGAACACCAGUGGCGAAGGCGACUUUCUGGUCUGUAACUGACGCUGAGGCGCGAAAGCGUGGGGAGCAAACAGG
This 253-nucleotide ribosomal RNA is filed under the name uncultured bacterium. RNAcentral's name for it is "partial 16S ribosomal RNA". It matches the Rfam family "Bacterial small subunit ribosomal RNA", at positions 524 to 776 of the family's 1533-position model. The record is from RNAcentral.